This is a long non-coding RNA of Micropterus salmoides (largemouth bass), 2029 nucleotides long. RefSeq lists it as uncharacterized. The transcript has 5 exons. Lineage: Eukaryota; Metazoa; Chordata; Actinopteri; Centrarchiformes; Centrarchidae. The record is from RefSeq and is a predicted model, not a curated record.
CGUAGGGAAGAAAAUAUAAUCACUCGUCUGAGAAUAGGACAUACAGGUCUCAACCUUUCGUUAUAUAAAAUAGGUAAGCACCCAACUGGGAAAUGUAUAUAUUGUAACCAACUAGAAACGGUUGAACAUGUUCUCCUUCAGUGUAGGAGAUACACUAUCAAUAGGGAACGCCUCUUUCAGUCAUUACGGAAGGCAAAACAUCAUGAUAUCUCAUUGACAGGUGUCUUGGGGAAAACAGCAGGCCAGAUAUAUUGUCAUAUAAUUAAGUUUCUUAAAGAAACUGAGUUAGAAAAAAGAAUUUAAUUUAUGUUUGUUUUUUGUUUUCUCUCUUUUGUUUAUUUAAUUUAUUUCCUGCUUAAUCUCUCGUUUCACACUCCAGUCCAGCUUGUAGCGGUAAUGCACCGUUAAACUGGUUUGCCAACCGCCAUUAAACGAAGAAGAAGAAGAAGAAGAAGAAGCAGUUGUACGUUUCUAACACUAACGUUAGGUAGUAGUAGAAGCUCUCCUUUAUUGGUAGUGGAAUUUUGGACAAAUGGAAGACCACAGCUAUUAUUUAGCACAAGUGCCGAGGGAGGGUGAAUCUGCUUCGAAGAAGCGAAAGCAUGAUGAAGCCAGACUUAUAACGGGAGCGACGCAGGCAGAAAUCACGGGUAAACAUCGGUGUGGCUUUUCCUAGAUGGAAGGGUCUAAUGAGGGAAAAAUGUUUUCAAAGCGACACCGAAGUUGCCUGUUUUCUGAUGGACAGCUACGAGACAGGUCCUGCAACAUCGACUCCCUUGAAGAGAAAACCUUUGGAAGUCCCAGCUCCAGCAUUGGUGCUUCUAGUGGAACAGACCGAGACGAGCAUCUUGAUGUCAUGAAGCCACAGAAAUUCAGAACCUUGAACAAAGGUAACAUGUAGACAUCAUAACUUUGAGCCCUGUAUUGCUUUUCUCCAAAUGUUCAUAAUAUAUUUGUAAUAUGUUGUUGAGGAGGACUUGGAGGAAAAUAUUUUCAAUGACCCAAUGAACAGUGUGUAGGUAGUACUUCCUAAUUACAUGUAUUAUUUUUCAGUGAUAUUAUUUGAGAACUUGUUUUUAUCUGAAAGUUGUCAUUAUGUAAAGAAUUGAUUGGGCAGAUAAAGCUUCAUCUUACUCCCUUGAAAGAGAUGAUGGACAGAAUGGUUUCAGCUCUGAUGAAGAGGAUCUUCCACCGAUUUCUAUACGGUGUGUUAUUUGUGUCAGUUUGCAAUUGUUUUGUGGUGUUUGUUUACUACAGAUUUUUGUGCCUCAGUAGAAAGAGUGUGCUUUCUUCAGUGAUCCACCCAAUCGAUGGACUUCCUUGCCUGCACAUGAAGACGCUCCUGAUGAGCCUUCUCCCUGUGAUCAUGAACCUGUAUUCCCAGAACCACAGAAUGUCCUUUGUGAAGAUGACAUCAUAGGUGUCAGAGCCUCCAAAGUGUACGAGAACUGCUUAAGACAACUGGCUACAUUUCUGAUCCUGCCUGUGGAUAAAUGCACUGGCCUUCUGAGGACUGGUGCGCCGUGCAACUCUGUUGCACCCUUUGAGAUCAACAUCACCACCAAGGGCACAGCAGCUACUAUCGAAUGGAUAUAAUGGACACAGCUUGUGGAGGUGGAAUUCCCAGCCUGGCAUGAAGUUUGGGAUGCAAGCUGGAGAUUUUCUCUUGUCCACCAACAUUUUGUUGUCUGACAACAACAGAUUGCCCUCUUGUUCAAAUUCAUGAACAUGGGGAUGGUGAACAGGAAGACUUUCUUCUCCAUUCAGGACAUUUACUGCGUCAAUACAAUAAAGGACUUCUGGGAAGAGAGAAGGACAGAGGAUCUUUGUGGCCUUCAAGGGAAAGAUGUUGUUAUCCUAGAUGGCAGAAAUGACUCUCCUGGUCACUGUGCACAAUACUGCACCACCAUGGAGAAUGACACCAAGGAGAUCAUUCAUGUUGCCACCAUAGACAAGCGGCAAACAUCAUGGAACUCUGUCGUCAUGGAGAAGGAGGGUUUCAUCCAGACUGGACAAGCUUACAUCAGAA